CCUUUGAGGGUGUGAGGCCCCCAGCUAGAACACUGGGUUGAUAGGCUGGAUGUGGAAGCGAGGACUGAAGACUCGUGAAGCUGACCAGUACUAAUAGGCCGAUGACUUACACACA
Molecule: ribosomal RNA, 115 nt
Filed under: Xanthomonas citri pv. citri
Lineage: Bacteria; Pseudomonadati; Pseudomonadota; Gammaproteobacteria; Lysobacterales; Lysobacteraceae
Description: partial 23S ribosomal RNA
Rfam family: Bacterial large subunit ribosomal RNA
Source: RNAcentral